AAGUUUAGGUAGUUCUUCAAUCAAGACUACAUUGAACAAGGAUGGUGAUGCAGCUUAUACAGCAGAAAACACUGUUGGUGCUGAAAUAGUUCGUACAAGAGAAUGACUAUGGAUCACUUACUUCUAGGCCAGGUCCAUGGUUAGCAACAUGAUGAAGGAUGCCAGCUUCCCCUGAAGAUCAACCCAUCAUCGAAGUUGAAAACUUUGAGAUCACAAGACACCAAUAGACGUUCCAGUACAUCUUUGUGGAUUCCAAGACAUCCUCACAGAGU
Molecule: long non-coding RNA, 272 nt
Filed under: Homo sapiens (human)
Lineage: Eukaryota; Metazoa; Chordata; Mammalia; Primates; Hominidae
Description: non-protein coding lnc-JRKL-2:3
Source: RNAcentral